GGGCUCACCGCGGCAUGCGCCUCUCCUGCAGCUGCUGACAUCGGCGUGGGGCUGGCGGGCCAGGAGGGGACGCAGGCCGUGCAGAACAGCGACUUCGCGCUCGGUCAGUUCUGUUUCCUUCAGCGGCUGCUGCUGGUGCACGGCCGCUGGUCCUACAUGCGGGUCUGCAAAUUCCUGCGCUAUUUCUUCUACAAGACGAUGGCCAGCCUGGCGUCCCAGUUCUGGUUCGCCUUCUACACUGGCUUCAGCGCCCAGGUGUGCGGUCGGUCUCUCUCCCUUUCUCGGGGAGUAUGGAGCCGGCCGGGCCUUCCGGGACCCCUCCCCAACCUCCUCUCGAACUGGGGAGAUAAGUGUGAGCCUGCAAGACUGAGACCCCAGCAUCCUAGGAGGCUGAGGGGGGAGGAGGGAUGUUUAAAAACUUGGAGACAUCUCAGUUUCCUCAGUCAUGAGGUUUCUCCAGGCCCGGCUUGCAUUGCUUUGCAAUCCUCCUGUCUCAGCCUCCCAGAGCGCUGAGAUGAUAGGGGUGCAGACACCAUGCCCAGCUUUCCCCCUGGUUUUUAUUUUUCUUUUAAUUUGCACUGAUCUUUAUACAAACUUUGCUUAACCCACUCCUGGUCUCAGCCCACAACCCCAACUGUGACAGUACCUCCUGGUCCCCUGGGGAGCCCUCCCGGCUGCCCACGGGCCUCUGAGCGCCCUCUCUGUCCGCCCCGCACAGCCACUGUAUGAAGGGUGGUUCCUGUCGUUGUACAAUCUGCUCUACAGCACCUUACCCGUCCUCUACGUGGGGCUCUUCGAGCAGGAUGUGAGCGACAAGCAGAGCCUGCAGAUGCCUGAGCUGUACGUGGCUGGCCAGAAAGAUGAGCUUUUCAACUACUGGGUGUUCUGCAAAGCCAUCACCCAGGGCCUGGUCACCUCCCUGGUCAACUUCUUCUUUACUCUGUGGAUCAUCCGCGACACGGCCGGGCCCAGCAGCCUCAGUGACUACCAGUCCUUUGCAGUGGUGGUGGCCCUGAGCAGCCUGCUGACCAUCACCAUUGAGAUCAUGCUGAUCGUAAGGUACUGGACCUUCCUGUUCGUGGGGACCGUGCUCCUCAGCCUGGGCUGCUACUUUGUCAUGACGUACAUCACCCAGAGCCUGUGGCUUUACCGGCUGUUUCCGAAGACAUUUCCGUUUCUGUAUGCCCUCCACAAUGUGCUGACCAAGGCGUCGCUGCUGCUGGUGCUGCUGCUGAAUGUGGUGGAGGAGGCAGAGGUGCCCCCCAGCGAGGAGGUCUCGGAGGAGCCCUUGCCUCUCAGGCGCCAGUCCCGCGUGCGGCGCUCCAGCUACGCCUUCUCCCAUUACGAGGGCUACGGGGACCUCAUCACGCAGGGCAAGAUCCUGCGGAGGCCGCGCAGGGACAGCAGCGACACGAACGUGAACAUCUCCGCGGCCCUGCCCUCCGAGGUGGAGGAGCUGCCCUCGGCGCCCCCGGAGCCCAGGAAGAUCUCGUUCCUGGCGAACCCGAUGCUGCAGCUCAGGUCCAGGGCCACCUCCCAGGACGCCGGCCAGGACCAGUGGACAGGCCCCGGCGGGCAGGGCAGGUGGUUGGAGCCCUCGCUUCCGGAGGCCCCGCUGUCCCAAGAGCGCUCCUGGUCGGUGGCUGAGGCUCAGGCACCAGCCUUGGCGAGGCCAUCACUGCCCUGGGGUCAGGGCUCCGGGAGUGGGGCGCCCCCCUUGCAGACCCAGGACUCCCUGAGUGAGCAGGCCAUGGAGACCGAGUCCGGGUCCCUGGAGCGGGAGCCCUCCCCGAUGGAGUGGCUGCCUGAGUACUUCCAGGAGGUCCCGAUGCCACCUCCUCCCGGACAGCCGGCUCUCAACGCCAAGGACAAGGAAGCUGUGCCCUAUGCUUUUUCUAAUAAACCUAGAUCCGCCUGAC
This 1919-nucleotide long non-coding RNA is filed under the name Cavia porcellus (domestic guinea pig). RNAcentral describes it as "lncRNA (ENSCPOG00000031039.1)". The record is from RNAcentral. Lineage: Eukaryota; Metazoa; Chordata; Mammalia; Rodentia; Caviidae.